UACGAGGGGGGCAAAUGUUGUUCGGAAUCACUGGGCGUAAAGGGAGCGUAGGCGGGUUUCUAAGUCAGGUGUUUAAUCCCGGGGCCCAACCCCGGACAGGCACUUGAAACUGGGAAUCUUGAAUAGUGGAGAGGUCAGUGGAAUUGGGGGUGUAGCGGUGGAAUGCGUAGAGAUCCCCAAGAACACCAGAGGCGAAGGCGGCUACCUGGACAAUUGCUGACACUCAGGCACGAAAGCGUGGGGAGCAAAAGGG
This 253-nucleotide ribosomal RNA is filed under the name uncultured bacterium. Its description in RNAcentral is "partial 16S ribosomal RNA". It matches the Rfam family "Bacterial small subunit ribosomal RNA", at positions 524 to 776 of the family's 1533-position model. The record is from RNAcentral.